This 3727-nucleotide unclassified non-coding RNA is filed under the name Hevea brasiliensis (rubber tree). The record is from RNAcentral. Lineage: Eukaryota; Viridiplantae; Streptophyta; Magnoliopsida; Malpighiales; Euphorbiaceae.
AGCAAGACCCUUCUCCUCCUCCUCUUUUCCUUAAUUUCUGCUUUCUUUUUUUUUUAGUGUUCUUUUAGCUUUCUCAGCUUAAGGAGACUUAAGACACAGAAGAAUAGAAAACAAUCAAGAACAUUUUCCUCCGGAAUUUCAAUAUCCCUCUUCUUCUCUUCCUUCUCUUUUCUUGUUAAAGGGAAAUAAGAGAAAAGCAAAGGAAAAGAAUGAACAGAAAAGAGAAGCAAAGAAAAGGGGAGGCUUAGCUUCUUCCUUGUAUUUCAAGACUCUUUCUGUGAAGAUGUUUGAUUCCUUAAGCCCAUGCACACUUGAAGUUUCUCAGAUUCCCUUCACUUUUCCUUCCUUUUGUAGAAAAUCCAUCCAUACCCAAGUGCUUAAAUCCCUUUGUCUUUGCUUCAAGUCCUUCCAAACUCAAUUCCCCUGAGUAAGUUUUCACCAAAACAUGGUCCCCUUCAUUGCUUUAACCCUACUCUCUCUUCUUAGCACCUCUUGUUCUACUUCUUUACUUAAUGAUUUUAACGUUUUAGUUGUGCUUAAACAAGGAUUUGCUUUCCCUGAACCAGUCUUGAGCACGUGGAAUUCAUCGAAUCCAAGAUCAGUUUGUUCGUGGGCUGGAGUUGGUUGCUCUCGCGGGCGAGUUGUGUCAUUGGACUUGACAGAUUUGAAUCUGUCAGGUUCUGUUUCACCUCAGAUUUCAAGGCUUGAUAGGCUCACCAACUUGUCUCUUGCAGGAAACAACUUCACCGGUACCAUUGAGAUUUUCAGGCUGAGUAAUCUUCGGUUUCUUAACAUCUCAAACAAUCAAUUCAAUGGUGGCUUGGAUUGGAACUACUCUGAAAUGGAAAAGUUGGGAGUGUUUGAUGCUUACAAUAAUAACUUCACUGCUUUCCUUCCUCUUGGGAUUUUGAGCCUGAAAAAACUCAAGUACUUGGAUCUUGGUGGCAACUAUUUCUAUGGCAAAAUCCCUGCAAGCUAUGGGAAACUAGUGGGGUUGGAGUAUCUAUCACUCGCAGGAAAUGAUCUUCAUGGAAAAAUCCCUGCUGAAUUAGGAAACCUCACUAACUUGAGGGAGAUUUACUUGGGGUAUUACAAUGUUUUUGAAGGUGGGAUUCCUGCAGAGCUUGGAAAUUUGGUGAAUCUAGUUCACAUGAAUUCACCAGACUGUGGACUAGAUGGUCUAGUUCCGAGGGAGCUUGGAAACCUGAAGCUGCUUGAUACUCUAUAUUUGCAUGCCAAUCAUUUUUCAGGUUCUAUUCCAAAGGAGUUAGGCAACCUGACCAACUUGGUGAAUCUUGACCUCUCCAACAAUGCACUCACUGGUGAAAUCCCAAUUGAGUUCAUCAAUCUCAAGCAACUGAAGCUCUUCAAUCUCUUCUUGAAUAGACUACACGGUUCCAUUCCAGACUAUGUCGCGGAAUUGCCUAAUUUGGAAAUGCUGGGGCUGUGGAUGAACAAUUUCACCGGUGAGAUUCCUCAAAAACUUGGCCAAAAUGGGAAGCUUCACAUUCUUGAUUUGUCCUCAAAUAAGCUCACUGGUACAAUCCCGCAGGACUUGUGUUCCUCUAAUCAGUUGAGGAUUCUAAUUCUCCUGAAGAAUUUCCUCUUUGGGCCAAUCCCAGAAGGUCUGGGGACAUGUUAUAGUCUCACUAGAGUGAGGUUAGGGCAGAACUACUUGAAUGGAAGCAUUCCAAAUGGUUUCAUUUACUUGCCUCGGUUGAAUUUAGCAGAGUUGCAGAACAACGUCCUGUCAGGGAAUUUAUCAGAGAAUGGUAAUAGUUCAUCUAAACCUGUUAAAUUAGGCCAACUCAAUUUGUCAAACAAUCUCCUCUCGGGUCCUCUGCCAUUUUCGCUUUCGAAUUUCUCUUCCCUUCAAAUCCUUCUGCUCAGUGGAAAUCAAUUCUCAGGUCCAAUUCCAACUUCCAUAGGAGAACUCCAGCAAGUACUAAUGCUUGAUCUUAGCAGAAAUUCACUUUCAGGUCCAAUUCCACCUGAAAUAGGAAACUGUUUCCAUCUCACUUUCCUUGACAUGAGCCAGAACAAACUCUCUGGUUCAGUCCCACCAGAGAUAUCCAACAUCCAUAUCUUGAAUUACUUGAACUUUUCAAGAAACCACUUGAACCAAACAAUACCAAAAUCCAUUGGUUCCAUGAAAAGCCUCACUGUUGCUGAUUUUUCUUUCAAUGAUUUCUCCGGAAAGGUCCCAGAAUCCGGUCAGUUCUCCCUCUUUAAUGCCUCCUCUUUUGCAGGAAAUCCUCAACUCUGUGGUCCUCUACUUAACAAUCCUUGCAAUUUCACCACCAUCACAAACACACCAGGAAAAGCCCCCAGUGAUUUCAAGCUCAUCUUCGCUUUAGGCUUGCUGAUAUGCUCUCUGAUAUUUGCAACUGCUGCCAUAAUAAAGGCCAAGUCUUUCAAGAAAAACAGCUCAGAUUCUUGGAAGAUGACAGCUUUCCAAAAGCUAGAAUUCACCGUCACAGACAUCCUGGAAUGUGUAAAAGAUGGAAACGUAAUUGGUAGAGGAGGAGCUGGGAUUGUAUACCAUGGGAAAAUGCCAAAUGGGGUUGAAAUUGCAGUUAAAAAACUACUUGGUUUUGGCACCAAUAGCCAUGACCAUGGCUUUAGAGCAGAAAUUCAAACACUAGGCAACAUUAGGCAUCGAAACAUCGUUAGAUUGCUCGCUUUCUGCUCCAACAAAGAAACCAACUUGUUGGUUUAUGAGUACAUGAGAAAUGGAAGCCUAGGAGAAGCCUUACAUGGCAAAAAGGGUUCCUUCUUGGGUUGGAAUUUGAGGUACAAAAUUGCCAUUGAUGCUGCUAAAGGCCUGUGUUACCUUCACCAUGAUUGUUCACCAUUGAUUGUUCAUCGAGACGUAAAAUCCAACAACAUUCUAUUAAAUUCAAGCUUCGAAGCACACGUUGCAGAUUUCGGAUUAGCAAAGUUCCUCAUUGAUGGGGGAGCAUCGGAGUGCAUGUCAGCAAUUGCAGGGUCUUAUGGUUAUAUUGCUCCUGAAUAUGCAUACACAUUGAAGGUGGACGAGAAGAGUGAUGUGUAUAGUUUUGGAGUUGUUGCCUUGGAAAUUGUUAGUGGGAGGAGCAACACUAGUUACCGACAGAAUGUGAAGGAGGAAUGCUUUUAUCUACUUGACUGGGCACUUGUUUUAAAAGAAAAAGGAAGUUUAUUGGAGCUUGUUGAUCCAAAACUAGGGAAGAACUACAACAAAGAACAGGUGAUGACAUUGAUCAACGUGGCUCUGCUAUGUACUGGUGUCUCUCCAGUAGUUAGGCCUACAAUGUCUUCAGUGGUAAGUAUGUUGGAAGGCAAGGCCUCUAUUCAAGAUUUGGUUUUGGAUUCAAGUGUCUCACAAUCACAUAAUGAGAUGAGAAUUGAAGCAAUGAGGAAGCAUUUUCAGCACUGCAUUGACCAGGAUACAAGUACCAGCAUGACCCAAAGUAUGUCACUGGAUGGACCUUGGACUGGAUCUUCCACUUCUGCUCAGGAUCUUUAUCCACUCGUUAUGGAUUCUGAUUAUUGGGAGAAGAGAAAUUAGAUAAAUAGUUAAAAUUAUGAACAGUGUGUACAAGUAAACAGCAAUGGUUAAAAUUAUCAACAGUGUCUACAAGGAAACAGCCUCUCUGCAUAGUAGAGCAAGCCCAAGUGUGUAAUGUUUCGUGCACUAACUCAUCCCUUUUUUUAUCCUCCUUCCUUUGCUUUAUUAUUAUUAUUA